CCUACGGGAGGCUGCAGUGGGGAAUAUUGGACAAUGGGGGCAACCCUGAUCCAGCCAUGCCGCGUGUGUGAAGAAGGCCCUCGGGUUGUGAAGCACUUUCAGUGAGGAAGAACGCCUGGUGGUUAAUACCCAUCAGGAAAGACAUCACUCACAGAAGAAGCACCGGCUAACUCCGUGCCAGCAGCCGCGGUAAUACGGAGGGUGCGAGCGUUAAUCGGAAUUACUGGGCGUAAAGCGCGCGUAGGUGGCUUGAUAAGCCGGUUGUGAAAGCCCCGGGCUCAACCUGGGAACGGCAUCCGGAACUGUCAAGCUAGAGUGCAGGAGAGGAAGGUAGAAUUCCCGGUGUAGCGGUGAAAUGCGUAGAGAUCGGGAGGAAUACCAGUGGCGAAGGCGGCCUUCUGGACUGACACUGACACUGAGGUGCGAAAGCGUGGGUAGCAAACAGGAUUAGAUACCCCUGUAGUC
RNAcentral lists this ribosomal RNA (465 nucleotides) under Vreelandella stevensii. Its description in RNAcentral is "partial 16S ribosomal RNA". It matches the Rfam family "Bacterial small subunit ribosomal RNA", at positions 338 to 795 of the family's 1533-position model. Lineage: Bacteria; Pseudomonadati; Pseudomonadota; Gammaproteobacteria; Oceanospirillales; Halomonadaceae. The record is from RNAcentral.